RNAcentral lists this ribosomal RNA (428 nucleotides) under uncultured bacterium. RNAcentral's name for it is "bacterial SSU rRNA". It matches the Rfam family "Bacterial small subunit ribosomal RNA", at positions 958 to 1392 of the family's 1533-position model. The record is from RNAcentral.
AACGCGAAGAACCUUACCAGGUCUUGACAUACCACGAGUAGCAUAGAGAUAUAUGAUGCCCUUCGGGGCGUGGAUACAGGUGGUGCAUGGUUGUCGUCAGCUCGUGUCGUGAGAUGUUGGGUUAAGUCCCGCAACGAGCGCAACCCUUACUAUUAGUUGCUACGCAAGAGCACUCUAAUGGGACUGCCGUUGACAAAACGGAGGAAGGUGGGGAUGAUGUCAAAUCAUCAUGCCCUUUAUGACCUGGGCUACACACGUAAUACAAUGGCACUUUAACCACGGGAGGCAAAGCCGCGAGGCCCAGCGAAACCCCAAAAAGUGUCUCAGUUCGGAUUGCAGGCUGCAACUCGCCUGCAUGAAGUCGGAAUUGCUAGUAAUCGCGGAUCAGCAUGCCGCGGUGAAUACGUUCCCGGGUCUUGUACACACCG